This 1431-nucleotide ribosomal RNA is filed under the name uncultured Bordetella sp. RNAcentral describes it as "partial 16S-23S ribosomal RNA intergenic spacer". It matches the Rfam family "Bacterial small subunit ribosomal RNA". Lineage: Bacteria; Pseudomonadati; Pseudomonadota; Betaproteobacteria; Burkholderiales; Alcaligenaceae. The record is from RNAcentral.
CUAACACAUGCAAGUCGAACGGUAACAGGAAACAGCUUGCUGUUUCGCUGACAAUCGUGACAGGUGAGUAAUGUCUGGAAACUGCCUGAUGGAGGGGAUAACUACUGGAAACGGUAGCUAAUACCGCAUAACGUCAUAAGAAUAAAGAGGGGACGUACGGGCCUCUUGCCAUCAGAUGUGCCCAGAUGGGAUUAGCUAGUAGGUGGGGUAACGGCUCACCUAGGCGACGAUCCCUAGCUGGUCUGAGAGGAUGACCAGCCACACUGGAACUGAGACACGGUCAGAUCUGGAGGCAGCGGUGAUUUUGGACAAUGGAAACCACGAUUGACCAUCCCGCGUGUGCGAUGAAGGCCUUCGGGUUGUAAAGCACUUUUGGCAGGAAAGCAGCACGGGAUAUUACCCCGUGCAACUGACGGUACCUGCAGAAUAAGCACCGGCUAACUACGUGCCAGCAGCCGCGGUAAUGCCCGUAGGUGCAGCGUUAAUCGGAAUUACUGGGCGUAAAGCGUCCGCUUGAGCGGUUCGGAGAAGAAAGAUGUGAAAUCCCAGAGCAACUUUGGAACGCAUUUUUAACUACCGAGCUAGAGUGGGUCAGGGAGGUGGAAUUCCGCGUGCCAGCAGUUGAGAAUGCGUAGAUAUGCGGAGGAACACCGAUGGCGAAGGCAAUAUCUGGGAUAACGCUGACGCUCAUGCUGCGAAAGCGUGGGGAACAAACAGGUUAGAUACCUGUUCAGUCACGCCUAAACGAUGUCAACUAGCUGUUGGAGAUUAAGUUAACAAGUGAAAGCGCAACUAACAGUCGAGUUGACCAUCAGAAGUGCUGAUUAAGCAAAGAUUAAACUCAAAGGAAUUGGGCGGGGACUGCUGACAGUGGAUGAUGGAUAAUUUCGAUGCAACGCGAAAAACCUUACCUACCCUUGACAUGUCUGGAAUCGAAGAGAUUUGGGAGUGCUCGCAAAGAACCGGAACACAGGUGCUGCAUGGCUGUCGUCAGCUCGUGUCGUGAGAUGUUGGGUUGAGGUCCACUGCAACGAGCGCAGCCCUUAUCAUUAGUUGCUACGAAAGGGCACUCUAAUGAGACUGCGGAUGGCUGCAAACCGGAGGAAGGUGGGGACGACGUCAAGUCCUCAUGGCCCUUAUGGGUAGGGCUUCACCCGUCAUACAAUGGUCGGGACAGGGAUACGCCAACCCGCGAGGGAACUGGUAUCCAGAAAUUGAUCGUGGUCGGAUGUUCAGUCUGCAACUCAAAGGCUGCGUGAAGUCGGAAUCGCUGGUAAUCGCGGAUCAGCAUGUCGCGGUGAAUACGUUCCCGGGUCUUGUACACACCGCCCGUCGGAGUGGGUUUGCAAGAAGUGGUGCAGCCUAACCGUAAGGAGGGCGGGCUACCACGGUAGGAUUCACGACUGGGGUGAAAAUUCGUAACAAAAUUGG